RNAcentral lists this transfer RNA (71 nucleotides) under Toxocara canis (dog roundworm). It matches the Rfam family "tRNA". Rfam says of the family: Transfer RNA (tRNA) molecules are approximately 80 nucleotides in length. Their secondary structure includes four short double-helical elements and three loops (D, anti-codon, and T loops). The record is from Rfam by way of RNAcentral. Lineage: Eukaryota; Metazoa; Nematoda; Chromadorea; Rhabditida; Toxocaridae.
CGGGCAGUAGCUGAAUGGUAGAGCCCCGCUUCGUAUGCGUGAAGGCCUGGGUUCGAUUCCCGGCUGCUUAC